This 324-nucleotide ribosomal RNA is filed under the name Escherichia coli. Its description in RNAcentral is "bacterial SSU rRNA". It matches the Rfam family "Bacterial small subunit ribosomal RNA", at positions 1162 to 1487 of the family's 1533-position model. The record is from RNAcentral. Lineage: Bacteria; Pseudomonadati; Pseudomonadota; Gammaproteobacteria; Enterobacterales; Enterobacteriaceae.
ACUGGAGGAAGGUGGGGAUGACGUCAAGUCAUCAUGGCCCUUACGACCAGGGCUACACACGUGCUACAAUGGCGCAUACAAAGAGAAGCGACCUCGCGAGAGCAAGCGGACCUCAUAAAGUGCGUCGUAGUCCGGAUUGGAGUCUGCAACUCGACUCCAUGAAGUCGGAAUCGCUAGUAAUCGUGGAUCAGAAUGCCACGGUGAAUACGUUCCCGGGCCUUGUACACACCGCCCGUCACACCAUGGGAGUGGGUUGCAAAAGAAGUAGGUAGCUUAACCUUCGGGAGGGCGCUUACCACUUUGUGAUUCAUGCUGGGGGAAGUC